Long non-coding RNA from Pyrgilauda ruficollis (rufous-necked snowfinch), 480 nucleotides. RefSeq lists it as uncharacterized. Lineage: Eukaryota; Metazoa; Chordata; Aves; Passeriformes; Passeridae. The transcript has 4 exons. The record is from RefSeq and is a predicted model, not a curated record.
AGGAAAUGCAGAAAGAGGAGGGUCCGCAGUAGAGCACAGCACACAUUUAUAUGGCCAUCUAAAUGAACAGAGCUGAAAGACUCAUAAGCAAUGCCUCUUUCACUGAACGUGCCACUGACAGGAGAUGCUGGGCCAUGAAGAAAGCUUGGAACUGGCAGUGCUGCGCUGCUCUGCCCUUGUAAUUCCCUUGUGCCAUGUUCCAGGAGCUGGGGAGGUGCUCAGCAACAAACACCACCGUACUGCUUAGUGGAGGAGCAAUCUCUUCUUUCAUGAAAAGCUGGGUUUUUAGCCCUGACCACACUCAAAGGAAAAAAUAAGACUAUAGGAAGGGGUGAUCUUCAGUGACAGCAAAUUUUACAUUGCCGUUGAUUCAUAGGAAUCCAUUACUGCUUCCUGGAGCAUGAUAAAUGGAUAUCAGCAUGGACUAGAAUCACAGAAUCACAGAAUAUCCUGAAUUGGAAGGGACCCACAAGGAUCAUC